Molecule: long non-coding RNA, 600 nt
Filed under: Heterocephalus glaber (naked mole-rat)
Lineage: Eukaryota; Metazoa; Chordata; Mammalia; Rodentia; Bathyergidae
Description: lncRNA (ENSHGLG00000039560.1)
Source: RNAcentral
GAUGGGAAGGUGGUGAUAAUUAUGGAAUAAGGAAUCUAACAUAAUAAAGUCAUAGUUUAAAAAAAUUUUAUUUGCUUAUAUAUUUUUGGCCUUUUGAAAUAGGGUCUAGGGUCUCACUGUGUAGCUCAGGCUGGCCUCAAAUUUGUGAUCCUGCUCCCUCAGCUUCCCAAGUGCUAAUAUUACAGAUAUAUACCAAGGCUAUAGUUUAGAACCCCUGAGACCUGAAUUUGAACCCUUGGAUCUUUCACACCAGUUAUGUGACCUGGACCUCAAACUUGUACUGAACAUUUCUGAGCUUCAGUUGCUGGAUCUGAAACAUAAGAAGGUGGUACCUCAUAAAGCUGUGUGAGGACUGAUUAGAACUUUCAUGCAACAAAUAUUUAUUGAAUGCAUUUUCUGUGUAAAAGUUUUAGGAAUACAAAGAAGAAGAGAAAGACCUAUCCCCUCCUCAGAGGUCACAUCUCUGUGCUAGAUGUCUAACAGAGUAGCUAUGCAAUAAAUGUAGCUUCUCCUUUGCCAAGGAAGUGGGAGAGCCUCCUGGGGAAAGGAAUUGACCCAAAACUACAUGAAGCCAUCAGGACCUGGACAUUUCUUUGUUGG